CGACCGCUGGCGGCGUGCUUAACACAUGCAAGUCGCAUGGAAAGGCCCUGCUUGCAGGGUACUCGAGUGGCGAACGGGUGAGUAACACGUGGGUGAUCUGCCCUGCACUUCGGGAUAAGCCUGGGAAACUGGGUCUAAUACCGGAUAGGAGCCAUUUUUAGUGUGAUGGUUGGAAAGUUUUUUCGGUGUAGGAUGAGCUCGCGGCCUAUCAGCUUGUUGGUGGGGUAAUGGCCUACCAAGGCGGCGACGGGUAGCCGGCCUGAGAGGGUGGACGGCCACAUUGGGACUGAGAUACGGCCCAGACUCCUACGGGAGGCAGCAGUGGGGAAUAUUGAACAAUGGGCGCAAGCCUGAUGCAGCGACGCCGCGUGGGGGAUGACGGCCUUCGGGUUGUAAACUCCUUUCGCUAGGGACGAAGCUUUUUGUGACGGUACCUAGAGAAGAAGCACCGGCUAACUACGUG
This 463-nucleotide ribosomal RNA is filed under the name uncultured bacterium. RNAcentral's name for it is "partial 16S ribosomal RNA". It matches the Rfam family "Bacterial small subunit ribosomal RNA", at positions 30 to 507 of the family's 1533-position model. The record is from RNAcentral.